GUGCAGCAGGCGCGAAACCUCCGCAAUGCUCGAAAGAGCGACGGGGGGACUCCAAGUGCCUACGCUCAGCGUAGGCUGUUCCCGAGCCUAAAAAGCUCGGGGAGUAAGGGCUGGGUAAGACGGGUGCCAGCCGCCGCGGUAAUACCCGCAGCCCGAGUGGUGGCCGCUAUUAUUGGGCCUAAAGCGUCCGUAGCCGGCUCGGUAAAUGCCUGGGUAAAUCGUCUGGCCCAACCAGACGAAUUCCGGGUAGACUGCCGGGCUAGGGACCGGAGGAGGGAGAGGGGUACUUCAGGGGUAGGGGUGAAAAUUUCCUUUCCAUUAACGCUUUGCGCGAAGCGGAAAGGGUUAUCACAAUCCUGUAAUCCCUGGAGGACCACCCGUGGCGAAGGCGCUCUCCUAAGACGGGUCCGACGGUGAGGACGAAAGCCAGGGGAGCAAACCGGAUUAGAUACCCCCGUAGU
Molecule: ribosomal RNA, 461 nt
Filed under: uncultured microorganism
Description: bacterial SSU rRNA
Rfam family: Archaeal small subunit ribosomal RNA
Source: RNAcentral